RNAcentral lists this microRNA (24 nucleotides) under Zea mays. RNAcentral describes it as "microRNA miR-3104". Lineage: Eukaryota; Viridiplantae; Streptophyta; Magnoliopsida; Poales; Poaceae. The record is from RNAcentral.
AACUGACCCCUAGCACUGACGACA